GGAAAUGUGGCAGAGCAUGGUUGAUUGCGCCGCCCUCGAAAAGCGGAGGCUGUGAAAACGGCCCGCAGGUUCGAAUCCUGCCAUUUCCG
RNAcentral lists this transfer RNA (89 nucleotides) under Acidithiobacillus ferrooxidans ATCC 23270. It matches the Rfam family "tRNA". From Rfam's summary of the family: Transfer RNA (tRNA) molecules are approximately 80 nucleotides in length. Their secondary structure includes four short double-helical elements and three loops (D, anti-codon, and T loops). Further hydrogen bonds mediate the characteristic L-shaped molecular structure. tRNAs have two regions of fundamental functional importance: the anti-codon, which is responsible for specific mRNA codon recognition, and the 3' end, to which the tRNAs corresponding amino acid is attached (by aminoacyl-tRNA synthetases). tRNAs cope with the degeneracy of the genetic code in two manners: having more than one tRNA (with a specific anti-codon) for a particular amino acid; and 'wobble' base-pairing, i.e. permitting non-standard base-pairing at the 3rd anti-codon position. The record is from Rfam by way of RNAcentral. Lineage: Bacteria; Pseudomonadati; Pseudomonadota; Acidithiobacillia; Acidithiobacillales; Acidithiobacillaceae.